ACGCUCGACACCUACGGGGNGAGCAGUGGGGGAUAUUGCGCAAUGGGGGAAACCCUGACGCAGCAACGCCGCGUGAAGGACGAAGGUUUUCGGAUUGUAAACUUCUUUUGUUAGGGACGAAGAAAUGACGGUACCUGACGAAUAAGCUCCGGCUAACUACGUGCCAGCAGCCGCGGUAAUCUGAGCGGGCUGGCAAGGC
RNAcentral lists this ribosomal RNA (199 nucleotides) under uncultured bacterium. RNAcentral's name for it is "partial 16S ribosomal RNA". It matches the Rfam family "Bacterial small subunit ribosomal RNA", at positions 328 to 539 of the family's 1533-position model. The record is from RNAcentral.